Molecule: ribosomal RNA, 445 nt
Filed under: uncultured soil bacterium
Lineage: Bacteria
Description: bacterial SSU rRNA
Rfam family: Bacterial small subunit ribosomal RNA
Source: RNAcentral
AGAGCGAACGCUGGCGGCAGGCCUAAUACAUGCAAGUCGAGCGGUCCCUUCGGGGGCAGCGGCGGACGGGUGAGUAACGCGUGGGAACGUGCCCUUUGGUACGGAACAACUGAGGGAAACUUCAGCUAAUACCGUAUGUGCCCUUCGGGGGAAAGAUUUAUCGCCAUUGGAGCGGCCCGCGUUGGAUUAGGUAGUUGGUGAGGUAAAGGCUCACCAAGCCUACGAUCCAUAGCUGGUCUGAGAGGAUGAUCAGCCACACUGGGACUGAGACACGGCCCAGACUCCUACGGGAGGCAGCAGUAGGGAAUCUUGCGCAAUGGGCGAAAGCCUGACGCAGCCAUGCCGCGUGAAUGAUGAAGGUCUUAGGAUUGUAAAAUUCUUUCACCGGGGACGAUAAUGACGGUACCCGAGAAGAAGCCCCGGCUAACUUCGUGCCAGCAGCCGC